This 68-nucleotide transfer RNA is filed under the name Hylomyscus anselli (Ansell's wood mouse). RNAcentral describes it as "tRNA-Thr". The record is from RNAcentral. Lineage: Eukaryota; Metazoa; Chordata; Mammalia; Rodentia; Muridae.
GUCUUAAUAGUAUAAAUAAUUACUCUGGUCUUGUAAACCAGAAAUGAAGAACUCAUCUUCUUAAGACA